GGGUCGGUGCCGGAGUGGACAAACGGGCCUGGCUGUAAACCAGGUGGCGAAAGCCUUCGGAGGUUCGAAUCCUUCCCGGCCCA
Molecule: transfer RNA, 83 nt
Filed under: Thermobaculum terrenum ATCC BAA-798
Lineage: Bacteria; Bacillati; Chloroflexota; Chloroflexia; Thermobaculales (SeqCode); Thermobaculaceae (SeqCode)
Also listed under: 1 other name
Description: tRNA-Tyr (GTA) (tRNA-Tyr-GTA-1-1)
Rfam family: tRNA
About the family: Transfer RNA (tRNA) molecules are approximately 80 nucleotides in length.
Source: Rfam by way of RNAcentral